GACGAACGCUGGCGGCGUGCCUAAUACAUGCAAGUUGAGCGCUGAAGGUUGGUACUUGUACCGACUGGAUGAGCAGCGAACGGGUGAGUAACGCGUGGGGAAUCUGCCUUUGAGCGGGGGACAACAUUUGGAAACGAAUGCUAAUACCGCAUAAAAACUUUAAACACAAGUUUUAAGGUUGAAAGAUGCUAUUGCAUCACUCAAAGAUGAUCCCGCGUUGUAUUAGCUAGUUGGUUAGGUAAAGGCUCACCAAGGCGAUGAUACAUAGCCGACCUGAGAGGGUGGUCGGCCCCAUUGGGAAUGAGACCAGGCCCAAACUCCUUCGGGAGGCAGCAGUAGGGAAUCUUCCGCAAUAGACGAAAGUCUGACCGGGCAACGCCGCGGGAGUGAAGAAGGUUUUCGGGACGUAAAACUCUGUUGGUAGGGAAGAACGUUGGUGGGAGUGGAAAGCGCAUGAAGUGACGGAAACUACCCAGAAAGCGACGGCUAACUACGUG
This 497-nucleotide ribosomal RNA is filed under the name uncultured bacterium. RNAcentral's name for it is "partial 16S ribosomal RNA". It matches the Rfam family "Bacterial small subunit ribosomal RNA", at positions 28 to 507 of the family's 1533-position model. The record is from RNAcentral.